RNAcentral lists this ribosomal RNA (252 nucleotides) under uncultured bacterium. RNAcentral's name for it is "partial 16S ribosomal RNA". It matches the Rfam family "Bacterial small subunit ribosomal RNA", at positions 524 to 776 of the family's 1533-position model. The record is from RNAcentral.
UACGUAGGUGGCGAGCGUUGUCCGGAUUUAUUGGGCGUAAAGCGAGCGCAGGUGGGUUAUUAAGUCUGGUGUAAAAGGCAGUGGCUCAACCAUUGUAUGCAUUGGAAACUGGUAGACUUGAGUGCAGGAGAGGAGAGUGGAAUUCCAUGUGUAGCGGUGAAAUGCGUAGAUAUAUGGAGGAACACCGGUGGCGAAAGCGGCUCUCUGGCCUGUAACUGACACUGAGGCUCGAAAGUGUGGGGAGCAAACAGG